Molecule: ribosomal RNA, 257 nt
Filed under: uncultured bacterium
Lineage: Bacteria
Description: partial 16S ribosomal RNA
Rfam family: Bacterial small subunit ribosomal RNA
Source: RNAcentral
UUGAACGCUGGCGGCAUGCCUAACACAUGCAAGUCGAACGCGAAAGGGGGGCAACCCCCGAGUAGAGUGGCGGACGGGUGAGUAAUACGUAGGAAUCUGCCCAAUAGUGGGGGACAACUUAGGGAAACUUAAGCUAAUACCGCAUACGCACUACGGUGGAAAGCAGGGGAUCGCAAGACCUUGCGCUAAAUGGAGGAGCCUACGUCUGAUUAGCUGGUUGGUAGGUAACGGCCUACCAAGGCGACGAUCAGUAGCUG